This 497-nucleotide ribosomal RNA is filed under the name uncultured bacterium. RNAcentral's name for it is "partial 16S ribosomal RNA". It matches the Rfam family "Bacterial small subunit ribosomal RNA", at positions 28 to 507 of the family's 1533-position model. The record is from RNAcentral.
GAUGAACGCUGGCGGCGUGCCUAAUACAUGCAAGUCGAGCGAACAGACCAGGAGCUUGCUCCUCUGACGUUAGCGCCGGACGGGUGAGUAACACGUGGAUAACCUACCUAUCAGACUGGGAUAACUUCGGGAAACCGGAGCUUAUACCGGAUAAUAUAUUGAACCUCAUUGUUCAAUAGUGAAAGACGGUUUUGCUUUCACUCAUAGAUGGAUCCGCGCCGCAUCAGCUAGUUGGUAAGGUAACGGCUUACCAAGGCGACGAUGCGUAGCCGACCUGAGAGGGUGAUCGGCCACACUGGAACUGAGACACGGUCCAGACUCCUACGGGAGGCAGCAGUAGGGAAUCUUCCGCAAUGGGCGAAAGCCUGACGGAGCAACGCCGCGUGAGUGAUGAAGGUCUUCGGAUCGUAAAACUCUGUUAUUAGGGAAGAACAAAUGUGUAAGUAACUAUGCACGUCUUGACGGUACCUAAUCAGAAAGCCACGGCUAACUACGUG